RNAcentral lists this small RNA (1049 nucleotides) under uncultured Pelagibacterales bacterium. RNAcentral describes it as "bacterial SSU rRNA". The stretch from base 1 to 657 matches the Rfam family "Bacterial small subunit ribosomal RNA", at positions 867 to 1533 of the family's 1533-position model. Lineage: Bacteria; Pseudomonadati; Pseudomonadota; Alphaproteobacteria; Candidatus Pelagibacterales. The record is from RNAcentral.
CACCGCCUGGGGAGUACGACCGCAAGGUUAAAACUCAAAUGAAUUGACGGGGACCCGCACAAGCAGUGGAGCAUGUGGUUUAAUUCGAAGAUACGCGCAGAACCUUACCAACACUUGACAUGUCUGUCGCGAACCUAAGAGAUUAGGUUCUUCAUUUAGUUGGACAGAACACAGGUGCUGCAUGGCUGUCGUCAGCUCGUGUCGUGAGAUGUUGGGUUAAGUCCCGCAACGAGCGCAACCCUUACUUUUAGUUGCCACCAUUUAGUUGAGCACUCUAAAAGAACUGCCAGUGAUAAGCUGGAGGAAGGCGGGGAUGACGUCAAGUCCUCAUGGCCCUUACGUGUUGGGCUACACACGUGCUACAAUGGUACUUACAAUGAGAUGCAAAGAGGUGACUCCUAGCCAAUCUCAAAAAAGUACCUCAGUUCGGAUUGUACUCUGCAACUCGAGUACAUGAAGCUGGAAUUGCUAGUAAUCGCGGAUCAGCGCGCCGCGGUGAAUACGUUCCCGGGUCUUGUACACACCGCCCGUCACACCAUGGAAGUUGGUUACACCUGAAGGCAAAACGUAAAACUUUUGACUACGGUACGAUCAGCGACUGGGGUGAAGUCGUAACAAGGUAGCCGUAGGGGAACCUGCGGCUGGAUCACCUCCUUUCUAAGGAAAUCGAUAACAAUUUUUAUCGAUUUAAAAAAAUAGAUAAUGUGACCGUCCUCAUUUCUCUUCUUUUAAUGUCUCUGAGUAAAUGUAAGUAAGGGGCCGGUAGCUCAGGUGGUUAGAGCGCACCCCUGAUAAGGGUGAGGUCGGAAGUUCGAGUCUUCCUCGGCCCACCAAUAUUACGGGGGAUUAGCUCAGCUGGGAGAGCGCCUGAUUUGCAUUCAGGAGGUCAGCGGUUCGAUCCCGCUAUCCUCCACCAAAAUUUGAGACAUUUAGCUUUUUUAAAUCGUAAAUAAUUUUAUUAUCAAUAUCUAUAUCCGAUUGUUUUCAUAAGAUUUUGAAAACAAUCAAAACAAAAAUUUAAUUUAUUUCAGAAAAAAAGUUUUUUUCUG